GUGUCCCAUCGUCUCCUUCUAGCUCUGGAACUUUAAUGUUUUCCGAUCGACAUAGCUCUGCACACUGCUGAGUUAGCUGAUUUGUAGCUAUAGACUUCAGUUUAACUUCAUUAGUCUUUAGCUUUUCUAUUUCAUUACCCAUACUGUCCACUUUCAUUGAAAGCGUAGUUAGGGUGUUGAAUAUCUUUUCUAGAGUAUCCUCUUCUAUUAUAUCAGUCUGUGUAGCUUUGUCUUGAUAUGUAAUCUGCAAUAACAUUUUUGUUAGUACU
Molecule: long non-coding RNA, 269 nt
Filed under: Capsicum annuum
Lineage: Eukaryota; Viridiplantae; Streptophyta; Magnoliopsida; Solanales; Solanaceae
Description: long non-coding RNA (CANN_LNC014733)
Source: RNAcentral